UACGUAGGGGGCAAGCGUUGUCCGGAUUUAUUGGGCGUAAAGAGCGUGUAGGCGGCCGUACAGGUCAGCUGUGAAAACUCGAGGCUCAACCUCGAGACGUCGGUUGAAACCGUACGGCUAGAGUCCGGAAGAGGAGAGUGGAAUUCCCGGUGUAGCGGUGAAAUGCGCAGAUAUCGGGAAGAACACCCGUGGCGAAAGCGGCUCUCUGGGACGGUACUGACGCUGAGACGCGAAAGCGUGGGGAGCAAACAGG
Molecule: ribosomal RNA, 253 nt
Filed under: uncultured bacterium
Lineage: Bacteria
Description: partial 16S ribosomal RNA
Rfam family: Bacterial small subunit ribosomal RNA
Source: RNAcentral